CCUACGGGAGGCAGCAGUGAGGAAUAUUGGUCAAUGGGCGCGAGCCUGAACCAGCCACGCCGCGUGAAGGAAGACUGCCCUAUGGGUUGUAAACUUCUUUUAUAAGGGAGUAAAGUGAGGCACGCGUGCCUUUUUGUACGUAUCUUAUGAAUAAGCAUCGGCUAACUCCGUGCCAGCAGCCGCGGUAAUACGGAGGAUCCGAGCGUUAUCCGGAUUUAUUGGGUUUAAAGGGAGCGUAGAUGGGAUGUUAAGUCAGUUGUGAAAGUUUGCGGCUCAACCGUAGAAGUGCAAUUGAUACUGGCAGCCUUGAGUGCAGGAGAGGUAGGCGGAAUUCGUGGUGUAGCGGUGAAAUGCAUAGAUAUCACGAAGAACUCCGGUUGCGAAGGCAGCCUACUGGACUGCCACUGACGUUGAUGCUCGAAAGUGUGGGUAUCAAACAGGAUUAGAUACCCUUGUAGUC
RNAcentral lists this ribosomal RNA (460 nucleotides) under uncultured bacterium. RNAcentral describes it as "partial 16S ribosomal RNA". It matches the Rfam family "Bacterial small subunit ribosomal RNA", at positions 338 to 795 of the family's 1533-position model. The record is from RNAcentral.